Molecule: ribosomal RNA, 253 nt
Filed under: uncultured bacterium
Lineage: Bacteria
Description: partial 16S ribosomal RNA
Rfam family: Bacterial small subunit ribosomal RNA
Source: RNAcentral
UACAGAGGUCCCGAGCGUUGUUCGGAUUCAUUGGGCGUAAAGGGUGCGUAGGCGGCGGGGCAAGUCUGAUGUGAAAUCCCGGGGCUCAACCCCGGAACUGCAUUGGAUACUGCCUUGCUUGAGUACUGGAGAGGAGACUGGAAUUCAUGGUGUAGCAGUGAAAUGCGUAGAGAUCAUGAGGAAGACCAGUGGCGAAGGCGGGUCUCUGGACAGUUCCUGACACUGAGGCACGAAGGCCAGGGGAGCAAACGGG